GCCGGGCGUGGUGGCACAUACCUGUAAUCCCAGCAGCACUGGAGGCUGAGACAAGCGGAUCAUGAGUUUAAAGCCAGCAUCAGCCACAGCAAGGCGCUAAGCAACUCAGUGAGACCCUGUCUCUA
RNAcentral lists this small RNA (125 nucleotides) under Marmota monax (woodchuck). Lineage: Eukaryota; Metazoa; Chordata; Mammalia; Rodentia; Sciuridae. The record is from RNAcentral.